Ovis aries (sheep) is the source of this 72-nucleotide transfer RNA. It matches the Rfam family "tRNA". From Rfam's summary of the family: Transfer RNA (tRNA) molecules are approximately 80 nucleotides in length. Their secondary structure includes four short double-helical elements and three loops (D, anti-codon, and T loops). NCBI's taxonomy places the organism in Eukaryota, Metazoa, Chordata, Mammalia, Artiodactyla, Bovidae. The record is from Rfam.
UCCCUGGUGGCUCAGACGGAAAAGUGUCUGCCUGCAAUGCAGGAGACCCUGGUUUGAUUCCUGGGUGGGGAA